UAGGGAAUCUUCGGCAAUGGGCGAAAGCCUGACCGAGCAACGCCGCGUGAGCGAUGAAGGCCUUCGGGUCGUAAAGCUCUGUUGUUAAGGAAGAACAAGUACGAGAGUAACUGCUCGUACCUUGACGGUACUUAACGAGAAAGCCACGGCUAACUACGUGCCAGCAGCCGCGGUAAUACGUAGGUGGCGAGCGUUAUCCGGAAUUAUUGGGCGUAAAGCGCGCGCAGGCGGUUCUUAAGUCUGAUGUGAAAGCCCACGGCUCAACCGUGGAGGGUCAUUGGAAACUGGGAAACUUGAGUGCAGAAGAGGAAAGCGGAAUUCCACGUGUAGCGGUGAAAUGCGUAGAGAUGUGGAGGAACACCAGUGGCGAAGGCGGCUUUCUGGUCUGUAACUGACGCUGAGGCGCGAAAGCGUGGGGAGCAACAGGAUUAGAUACCCUGGUAGUCCACGCCGUAAACGAUGAGUGCUAAGUGUUAGAGGGUUUCCGCCCUUUAGUGCUG
Molecule: ribosomal RNA, 500 nt
Filed under: uncultured Bacillota bacterium
Lineage: Bacteria; Bacillati; Bacillota
Description: bacterial SSU rRNA
Rfam family: Bacterial small subunit ribosomal RNA
Source: RNAcentral